This 254-nucleotide ribosomal RNA is filed under the name uncultured bacterium. RNAcentral describes it as "partial 16S ribosomal RNA". It matches the Rfam family "Bacterial small subunit ribosomal RNA", at positions 524 to 776 of the family's 1533-position model. The record is from RNAcentral.
UACGGGGGGAGCAAGCGUUGUUCGGAUUUACUGGGCGUAAAGGGCGCGUAGGCGGCCACCGCAAGUCGGAUGUGAAAUCUCUGGGCUUAACCCAGAAAGGUCAACCGAUACUGCGGGGCUAGAGUGCAGAAGGGGCAACUGGAAUUCUCGGUGUAGCGGUGAAAUGCGUAGAUAUCAAGAGGAACACCUGAGGCGAAGGCGGGUUGCUAGGCUGACACUGACGCUGAAGCGCGAAAGCUAGGGUAGCAAACGGG